CCUACGGGUGGCAGCAGUGAGGAAUAUUGGUCAAUGGCCGCAAGGCUGAACCAGCCAUGCCGCGUGCAGGAAGACGGCUCUAUGAGUUGUAAACUUCUUUUGUACGAGGGUAAACGCAGAUACGCGUAUCUGUCUGAGAGUAUCGUACGAAUAAGGAUCGGCUAACUCCGUGCCAGCAGCCGCGGUAAUACGGAGGAUUCAAGCGUUAACCGGAUUUAUUGGGUUUAAAGGGUGCGUAGGCGGUCGGAUAAGUUAGAGGUGAAAUCCCGGGGCUCAACUUCGGAAUUGCCUCUGAUACUGGCGGGCUAGAGAGCAGUCGCGGUAGGCGGAAUGUAUGGUGUAGCGGUGAAAUGCUUAGAGAUCAUACAGAACACCGAUUGCGAAGGCAGCUUACCAAGCUACUUCUGACGUUGAGGCACGAAAGCGUGGGGAGCAAACAGGAUUAGAUACCCCGGUAGUC
This 460-nucleotide ribosomal RNA is filed under the name uncultured bacterium. RNAcentral describes it as "partial 16S ribosomal RNA". It matches the Rfam family "Bacterial small subunit ribosomal RNA", at positions 338 to 795 of the family's 1533-position model. The record is from RNAcentral.